CGACCCAUUUAUAAUUAGGGUUUUACAUUUUACUAUAAAAGCCGAAACAAGCUUCACUCUCUCUUCCUAAUCGCAGUUGCUUCUGCGCAGUCUCAUUAGGUUUUCUCUCAUCAAAUUCUCAUCCGUUUUCAAGAAUCAUGCGUGCCAAGUGGAAGAAGAAGCGUAUGAGGAGGUUGAAGAGGAAGCGCCGAAAGAUGAGACAGAGAUCCAAGUAGUGUGUUUGUUCUUCGACAACAUCAAGUGAUCUUAAGUUUUGUUUUUCAUUUUCUGUGUUGUUUUUGUUUUUAAUUAAUCAGACUUAUUAUUAUAUGUUAAGAGAGUAGUAUCGGAUUUUCUCUCUCGUUUUGGUUUUGUAUUAGCUCAAAAGAUAUUCUUCUUUAUGGAAUUCGGUAGUUUUAUUGCUCUGAAUCUCGUUCGGUUGUGGUUUAAUUUUUUA
Long non-coding RNA from Medicago truncatula (barrel medic), 436 nucleotides. RefSeq lists it as uncharacterized. The record is from RefSeq and is a predicted model, not a curated record. The transcript has 2 exons. NCBI's taxonomy places the organism in Eukaryota, Viridiplantae, Streptophyta, Magnoliopsida, Fabales, Fabaceae.